Artibeus jamaicensis (Jamaican fruit-eating bat) is the source of this 1617-nucleotide long non-coding RNA. RefSeq lists it as uncharacterized. NCBI's taxonomy places the organism in Eukaryota, Metazoa, Chordata, Mammalia, Chiroptera, Phyllostomidae. The transcript has 4 exons. The record is from RefSeq and is a predicted model, not a curated record.
UUCAGGGUGAUUUACGUAAAAUAGAAAAACAGGCACACACAAAUGGCCUGACCAGCCGUGUGUUCUGCGGGGCCAAUGAUUAACUUUGGCAUGCCGCUUCCCAGUGCCGGGGCUGCCCGCCUGACUCUGAAACCAGCCAGGGGCACAGGACAGAGUCUAAGGCACUGGGGCUUGCAAAGACCCUGAUUUCCUAAGUCUGCAACUGCACCUGUUUGGGGACAAAGGAAAGCCUAGUGAUUCAGGUUUUAAGUUCCUAAUUCAGAAAAUAGGAAAUUCUACUCUACUGGGCACAUUCCUCUGGCCGGGCCUUUCUUCACUACAUCAGGUCUGGGAAAACCUCUGCUUCGGGAGCUCAAACCCUCUCCCCAUGUGAUUCUGUGGCGUAGGGAUAGAAAACAGUGAUCUUUGAAUGCACUGAUACAUUUGCAUUUAAUGUCCUUCAGGUCAGGACCUUUGGGGUUUUAACACAUUCAUUUAAGCAAUAAAAAUGAAUGCAUGUUCAUGCACAAACAGCAUGAUGAACACGCAGUUCCAACUAGAAACAGCAGCAGAUCGGUGACCAAGACUCUGGAAGGGGCUUCGGCAGUUUGAUCUUUCUUUUAUUUGUGCUCAGAGAUAGAUACAUUCACCAGAGGGUCAGUACGAGUUUGUUAUCGGCAUGGGCAGAGGCGAGGAAUAAGCAGAAGGAGCAGAUGCCCAGCCACGAGAAGCAAUGUUGCCUUCUCACCCGCACAGGUGAGGUCGUUCCGCAGCAGCGUGGGUGCCGAAACCUCACACCUGCGUCCGCCAGGACUCUGAAGGAAGCAGGGGCUGAGGCCGGCAAUGAACCGAGGAGGCGAGUUCUCAAGGAUAAGAGCUACUGGGAAUAAAACUUUAAAAGCCCACCUGAAUUUCCCACCAGAAAGUCCGUAUUACCUUGUAAGGGGUAACUUGGGGUCAGGGAAAAGGAACCCAGAGCUUCUGAGUCUGGAGCAGAGGUAGACAACAUUCCAUGCUGGAAAUGAUUAAAACAUCACCCAGGAGGUAUGGUCUGGCGCCUGAUCCCCAGUCGCACGGGCUCCCACCCACCUCGAGCAGACUCCAGCUGCCCUUGACCACACUGUGCCUGCUGGUUCAAGCGACCCUAUCUAACCACGCCCAGCCUGGAGAGCAGGACCGCCAGGCCACACAGGUGGGGCCCCACUAGGAGAGAUGGUCUCUUCCCUCCACCCAGAUGAGCCUUCCUCGAAAGUGUUGAGUAACUACAGCGGUGACCUCUUUGCCCUGGAGUUUCUGUGGCACGAGAACAUUCUUAUCAAGUGCAGGGAGAGGUGAGGGCCCCGCAGACCACCUGAACCUGCUGGAAAGCCGACUGAGGAGAGAAAGUGUGGAGCCUUCAAAGGCUCAGAGGGCAUGUGGAUGUUUGAGGAAGUUCUCUGGUUUAGCCCUGGCUGGUGUAGCUCAGUGGAUUGAGCUCUGGCCUGCGAACCAAAUAGCGGCGGCUCGAUUCCCAGUCAGGGCACAUGCCUGGGUUGCAGGCCAGGUCCCAGCAGGGGACGCACGAGAGGCAACCAGACAUUACUAUUUCUCUCCUUCCCUUCCCCUCUAAAGAUAAAUAAAUAAAAUCUAAAAAAAAGA